AAGCCAGAAACUGUGUUUCAUUUCAACCUUCUCCGUGACACAUUUCUGAAGUGGCUCCUGGGGAGAUCUGCUUUGCUCCGUCGCCAGUGAACCCACAACCUGUUACCACACAAAACCCAGCCGCCCCGGGAGGAUUCUGAUUCUGAGGUGUCCACCUCGCCCCGCAUUAAGAUCACCGAAAGGAAAUCGCCUGAAGCAACAAGGCUUAAAAUAGACAAGAAGAGCCCUGGUUUUCGUGUCAGAAAGUCUCCAGUUGGACCAACGCCAGUGUGGACAGCUUGGAGCCCCCGAAUAAGACAUUUGGUCUCAUGUCUCACGGCUUUCUUGACAUCAAAGGCCCUGUAGAGAACAAGAUGGAGUCACUCAUGUCAAGUAGUGAUGUAAUCAGGAAAGCAGGCAAAGGUGUUGCACCUAAGACCAGAUACCACCCAACCCAGCAGACUGACCGGGACUAAGGACCGUUCAUUCAUAAGGCCACAUCAACCUGGAAGGACCAGGAGCUGAUAACCAAUAGAAUCAGAAGAGGCCUGCAAAGGCCCAAGACUGAUUGAACUCUUGAAAAGGACGGACUCUUGCAACAAAUUGUCAAAUUCUCCACACGUUGGCUCUUACACAUCUGACCACAUUUGAAAGGCCACAGCCAACAAAGGCUGUGCCUCGUUGAUCUCUGAACAUGACAGAGAUCCUUCACUGCGGUACCCACCGAGAGCUGAUCCAGACCGGACCUAGGAGCCAACCCAACUGCACGCCCGAGGAUUGACUUCGCGUUUGGUUCAUUGAUUUCUUACUCCUUAUUGUAUCUUGUGUGUUGCAUGACUUUGUCCCGUGCUUUGUUUUGUGUGCUGUGGAGGAAGCCAAGUUACACGUGCAGUGAAACGUCAUAGAGUUUGGAAUCCUGAACCUGCUUUACAAGUAUGUUAACCUUGCAUUAGGAUUGAAUAAAGCCAACACUGUAGAAAGACACAACCUCAGGAGGUGCCUUCGUAAUGUGCUUGCUACAGACCCAGAUUGAAAAAGUAAGAAAAACAGAAAAGUAACUCUGUGUUUGGCAAAACUUGAAUUUACUGAGUAGAUCCAUCUGUAGUUCUGGGAGACGGAUUUUCGCAAAAAUCACUUGCAAAACUACAUUCUUUUUCUAGCUUUUUCCAGUGCUUCAUUUCAGUGAUCCUUAUUCUCAGCUGAAGUUCAUACCUACCAGGAAUGUUGUGGGGACUAAUUAAAUAAAGUACAUUUUAACCACCAGGCAGUGCCAAGUAUUUUAUUAAAUUCUGGAAACAUUUUCCCCUUGCCUGAAGGAAAUGGAGGAAC
Suricata suricatta (meerkat) is the source of this 1308-nucleotide long non-coding RNA. The record is from Ensembl. Lineage: Eukaryota; Metazoa; Chordata; Mammalia; Carnivora; Herpestidae.